Molecule: ribosomal RNA, 433 nt
Filed under: uncultured bacterium
Lineage: Bacteria
Description: partial 16S ribosomal RNA
Rfam family: Bacterial small subunit ribosomal RNA
Source: RNAcentral
AACGAACGCUGGCGGCAUGCCUAACACAUGCAAGUCGAACGAGACCUUCGGGUCUAGUGGCGCACGGGUGCGUAACGCGUGGGAACCUGCCCUUAGGUUCGGAAUAACUCCCCGAAAGGGGUGCUAAUACCGGAUAAUGUCUUCGGACCAAAGAUUUAUCGCCUUUGGAUGGGCCCGCGUUGGAUUAGCUAGUUGGUAGGGUAAAAGCCUACCAAGGCGACGAUCCAUAGCUGGUCUGAGAGGAUGAUCAGCCACACUGGGACUGAGACACGGCCCAGACUCCUACGGGAGGCAGCAGUGGGGAAUAUUGGACCAUGGGCGAAAGCCUGAUCCAGCAAUGCCGCGUGAGUGAUGAAGGACUUAGAGUUGUAAAGCUCUUUUACCCGGGAUGAUAAUGACAGUACCGGGAGAAUAAGCUCCGGCUAACUCCGUG